RNAcentral lists this ribosomal RNA (1990 nucleotides) under human oral metagenome. RNAcentral's name for it is "bacterial LSU rRNA". It matches the Rfam family "Bacterial large subunit ribosomal RNA", at positions 1105 to 2925 of the family's 2925-position model. The record is from RNAcentral.
CUUAGAAGCAGCCAUCCUUGAAAGAGUGCGUAAUAGCUCACUGGUCAAGUGGUUCUGCGCCGACAAUGUAGCGGGGCUCAAGCGUACCGCCGAAGCUGUGGCAACAACGCGUGUGGCUGGCACCAGGAACUGGAUGUCGGUGUGUUGUUGGGUAGGGGAGCGUCCUGCACGAGGUGAAGCCUGGAGGGAACUUCUGGUGGAUUGUGUGGGAGUGAGAAUGCAGGCAUGAGUAACGAAUCUGCGGUGAGAAUCCGCAGCGCCGAUUGACUAAGGGUUCCAGGGCUAGGUUUAUCCGCCCUGGGUUAGUCGGGUCCUAAGGCGAGGCCGACAGGCGUAGUCGAUGGACAACCAGUUGAUAUUCUGGUACCGCGUUAUGACCGCCCAUGCUGAAGUCAUUGUGCUAACCAAUUUGCUCACGCCGCCUCUAAGCCUUCGGGUUUGUUGGUGUGUGUGGGUCUUGGGGCCCCGGUGAUUGUAGGCAAGCGUGUUAACAGGGGUGACGCAGACAGGUAGCUGCAGUGCGCCGAUGGUUGUGCGUAUUUAAGGUUGUGGCCCGCCUCCCAGGCAAAUCCGGGGGGCACGAGGGUGAGAACUGAUGAGGGACACACGCGUGUGUGGACUUGUGGUGAUCCUAAGCUGCCGAGAAAAGCCUCGACGUGAGGGCAUGACGCGCCCGUACCCUAAACCGACUCAGGUGGUCAGGUAGAGUAUACCGAGGCGUUCGAGUGAAUCGUGGUUAAGGAACUCGGCAAAAUUCCUCCGUAACUUCGGGAUAAGGAGGACCCCGUGACUUCCUCUCAUCAUGCGUGGGUGUGGGGUUGUGGGGUCGCAGAGAAUAGGGAGAAGCGACUGUUUAUCAAAAACACAGGUGCGUGCGAAGCCGUAAGGCGAUGUAUACGCACUGACGCCUGCCCGGUGCUGGAAGGUUAAGAGGAACUGUCAACACCUCUUUGUGGGUGUGAAGCGGUGAAUUUAAGCCCCAGUAAACGGCGGUGGUAACUAUAACCAUCCUAAGGUAGCGAAAUUCCUUGUCGGGUAAGUUCCGACCUGCACGAAUGGCGUAACGACUUCUCCGCUGUCUCAACCGCGAACUCGGUGAAAUUGCAGUACGAGUAAAGAUGCUCGUUUCGCGCAGAAGGACGGAAAGACCCCGGGACCUUUACUAUAGCUUGGUAUUGGUGUUCGCUUGGACUUGUGUAGGAUAGGUGGGAGACUGUGAAGCUGCCGCGCCAGCGGUGGUGGAGUCGUCGUUGAAAUACCAUUCUGGUUCAAGCGGUCACCUCAACCUUGGCCCGUGAUCCGGGUUGGGGACAGUGCCUGGUGGGUAGUUUAACUGGGGCGGUUGCCUCCUAAAAUGUAACGGAGGCGCUCAAAGGUUCCCUCAGCCUGGUUGGUAAUCAGGUGGCGAGUGCAAGUGUACAAGGGAGCUUGACUGUGAGACCGACGGGUCGAGCAGGUGCGAAAGCAGGAACUAGUGAUCCGGCCAUGGCACGUGGGUGCGUGGUCGCUCAACGGAUAAAAGGUACCCCGGGGAUAACAGGCUGAUCUUGCCCAAGAGUCCAUAUCGACGGCAUGGUUUGGCACCUCGAUGUCGGCUCGUCGCAUCCUGGGGCUGGAGUUGGUCCCAAGGGUUGGGCUGUUCGCCCAUUAAAGCGGUACGCGAGCUGGGUUCAGAACGUCGUGAGACAGUUCGGUCCCUAUCCUCUGUGCGCGCAGGAAAUUUGAGAAGGGCCGUCCCUAGUACGAGAGGACCGGGAUGGACGAACCUCUGGUGUGCCAGUUGUACCGCCAGGUGCAUGGCUGGUUGGCUACGUUCGGAAGGGAUAACCGCUGAAAGCAUCUAAGCGGGAAGCCUGCUUCAAGAUGAGAUUUCCACGCCCCCCCGUGGGGUGAGAGGCCCCCGCCAGACUAGCGGGUCGAUAGGCCAGAGGUGGAAGCACAGCAAUGUGCUCGCGAGCCGACUGGUACUAAUGGGCCAACACUAAACAAC